CUGGAAAAUGAUCAAUACCAUUUUAAAUGGUUUGAAGGAGAUCAGCUACCUACUUAUGUCAGUGAUUCUCUACAAACUUUGUCAGAAGCUGAUGAAGACGAUGACAUUCAUGAGGACAAAUCCGCAGAAUGGAGUAGCGGUGAUGAAGAUAAUCGAGAUACCGACGAGGACGAUGAAGUUGAUUAAAUAUUUUUUUGAUUUAAUAAUAAUGUUUGACACAUUAUAUUUUUACUUUGUAUUGUAAUGGCUAUAAUUAUAAAUAUAAUUGAAAUCUUUUUCGAUUGGUUCAAUUACGAUCUAAA
This is a long non-coding RNA of Anastrepha obliqua, 302 nucleotides long. RefSeq lists it as uncharacterized. NCBI's taxonomy places the organism in Eukaryota, Metazoa, Arthropoda, Insecta, Diptera, Tephritidae. The transcript is spliced from 2 exons. The record is from RefSeq and is a predicted model, not a curated record.